UACGUAGGGUCCAAGCGUUAAUCGGAAUUACUGGGCGUAAAGCGUGCGCAGGCGGCUCGUUAAGUCAGCUGUGAAAUCCCCGAGCUUAACUUGGGAACUGCCGUUGAUACUAUAGAUCUUGAAUAUCGUGGAGGUAAGCGGAAUAUGUCAUGUAGCGGUGAAAUGCUUAGAUAUGACAUAGAACACCAAUUGCGAAGGCAGCUUACUACACGAUCAUUGACACUGAGGCACGAAAGCGUGGGGAGCAAACAGG
This 253-nucleotide ribosomal RNA is filed under the name uncultured bacterium. RNAcentral's name for it is "partial 16S ribosomal RNA". It matches the Rfam family "Bacterial small subunit ribosomal RNA", at positions 524 to 776 of the family's 1533-position model. The record is from RNAcentral.